CAGACCCUUUGAUUAUAUACAGCAUCUGUUCCCAGCGAGCUCUUCUCGCAAGUCUCAUACAUUAUAACUUCCUAACUAUUCUGCAUUUUUGUUCCCGUGUUUUGUUUUCCAUUCAUCACAUAAAAUUAGUGUGCCAACCUAACUUUUCUCCCCUAGUUAACCUCGCACCAACUCAAUAGUCUUUUAUACCGUCAAAAUGGUGGGACUUUCACAAGAAGAUUGCAACAUUAUCAAGAAUCAUCCUCUAACCAACUUAGUUGAUCAUUUAUGAGGCGCACUUCAGAAAGCUGAAAGAAUAUAUGAGAGGAAGUAGUCAUGUGAUCUAUACUUCAUCUCAGGCUCCAUUUCUACACUUCUUUGAUUCUUAUUCAAUAAGCCCCAGGCCGUGUUGCAGGUUUAUAACAAGAUUGACACGCAGAUUGACACACAGAUUACAUAUUAAAAAGAGUGGCAGAUUCCACAUUGAAUGACAGUGGAGACAAGGAAUAAUCAAGAGCUAAAUAUUCAGUAUAAAAUACAGUGUGAAUUUCCACCAAGAUUUGUGGCGCUCUCUAGUUGUCUUUUUGCCGGCGCAAUUCUUUUGAUAGCGCCCUCCGUACGUCAAUGGGAGCUGAGACGAAAUGAUUCCACCUCACCUGCAUAAUUUCGAUUGCAAAGAUAGAGAGUCUUAACUAACGUAACUCACCAUUGCUUUGCCGUGGCAUUUCAGCGUCUUUUACGCUCUUUUGAACCUCGGUCGACUUGCAGACCAUCUGUCGUCCGAUAGCAUUUGUAUGUACUGUAUCUGAAAUCAGGGGGU
This 799-nucleotide small RNA is filed under the name Histoplasma capsulatum var. duboisii H88. RNAcentral describes it as "Histoplasma capsulatum H88 hypothetical RNA". Lineage: Eukaryota; Fungi; Ascomycota; Eurotiomycetes; Onygenales; Ajellomycetaceae. The record is from RNAcentral.